RNAcentral lists this long non-coding RNA (1083 nucleotides) under Heterocephalus glaber (naked mole-rat). RNAcentral describes it as "lncRNA (ENSHGLG00000037517.1)". Lineage: Eukaryota; Metazoa; Chordata; Mammalia; Rodentia; Bathyergidae. The record is from RNAcentral.
UCCAUUUAUUCAUAGAGACUCUGACUCGUCUGCUGAGGACCUUGAACCCCCAAGGUGGUGAGUCUGCCUCACCACCAAAGCCUUGUAGACUGGGAUUGGAGACCACACAUCAGCCUUGUAAGGUGGCAGAGAUCUGAAUGAUGCCCUGGUGUGAUCUGACUCCCUGAGUGAUUGUUUAUGCAUCUCCUGGAUUCUGUGUAAGUAGCUGCGAUGGUGAGGAUGGACCUGGUGUGAUGGUGGUGCUGGGAGAUCCACAAGCAAUGGAGCCAAGCAACCAUGGACUGAAACCACUGUAACCAUAAGCCAAAAUAAAUCAUUCUUUCUGUUGGUUGACCUUCUCAGGUAUUCUGUCACAGUGAAAGAGAGCUCAGUAAGAAAGUGCCACAUGUGUUUUCUAUGCUGAUCCCCAAACUCCAAACACUAUCUUCACCCACUUUCUCAUGUGCAUGUUUGUGAUCAUCACAACAAAUGUCACUUGACAAGGUCUGUGUCACUUUCAGAGGGACUACAGCUCUGGGGCUCAGCCUUCUGCCCCUUGUUGCAUUCAGUCAGACUGAGUAAGUUUUUCUCUGAGAAGUGUAAGGCUCAUGGAGAACCAGCAAAGAUCUUCCAAAAGGCUAUAAGAUUAACUGAACUUCCUGUCUUCAAUGGGAAGUAAAUUUAAAAGGUCAAACUGAAAAGUGUUAGCAUAAACCUGUCUGCAGCCCAAACUCUCGGUGUAUAUGAAAUUAAGCAAGUCAUCUUUUCCCUCCGGUGCUAAUUUGAAUUAUGCACUCUACAUUUAAGAUAGAUUAACUAGUCCCCAGGUGGUAGCUACAUUUUUGGAAGACAGGGAUGUAUUUAAUUUGAAUCUGCUUCUGAUUCAGUGCUUAGAGUAACAAUUGGUCAAGCAUCAGUUAAAAAAAUAACGUGUAACAAAGGAGUGCAAAAGAUUUCCAAUAAUAUCCAAUGAGAUAUAAUUGGCCAUGUUGGCAAUACCUUGAAUUGCAUCGAUUUCCCCAUCUCGCUGAAAACCCUGAUAACGCUCCUGUUUUCACAGUAUUUCACCUUUUAAAAAAAUAAUCUGUAUGGUGGAAAAAAAAA